This is a small nuclear RNA of Salvia splendens (bonfire salvia), 104 nucleotides long. The record is from RefSeq and is a predicted model, not a curated record. Lineage: Eukaryota; Viridiplantae; Streptophyta; Magnoliopsida; Lamiales; Lamiaceae.
AUCCAUUCGGGGACAUCCGAUGAAAUUGGAACGAAACAAAGAAGAUUAACAUGACCCCUGAUGCAAGGAUGGCACGCAUAUAUCGAGAAAAAAUAGUUUACUAU